CGGGGCAUCCCGGAGGCAGGAAAGGCUUCGGCCGGACAGGGAUGGGCAUGCGGCGCAUUAGGCAGUAGGCGGGGUAACGGCCCACCUAACCGACGAUGCGUAGGGGUUCUGAGAGGAAGGUCCCCCACACUGGUACUGAGACACGGACCAGACUCCUACGGGAGGCAGCAGUGAGGAAUAUUGGUCAAUGGUCGGGAGACUGAACCAGCCAAGCCGCGUGAGGGAGGAAGGUACAGAGUAUCGUAAACCUCUUUUGUCAGGGAACAAAGACUGGGACGCGUCCCCGGAUGAGUGUACCUGAAGAAAAAGCAUCGGCUAACUCCGUGCCAGCAGCCGCGGUAAUACGGAGGAUGCGAGCGUUAUCCGGAUUUAUUGGGUUUAAAGGGUGCGCAGGCGGUCUGUUAAGUCAGCGGUCAAAGCCCGGGGCUCAACCCCGGCCCGCCGUUGAAACUGGCAGUCUCGAGUUGGAGAGAAGUAUGCGGAAUGCGCGGUGUAGCGGUGAAAUGCAUAGAUAUCGCGCAGAACUCCGAUUGCGAAGGCAGCAUGCCGGCUCCACACUGACGCUGAGGCACGAAAGCGUGGGUAUCGAACAGGAUUAGAUACCCUGGUGGUCCACGCAGUAAACGAUGAAUGAUGGCUGUCCGGG
Molecule: ribosomal RNA, 646 nt
Filed under: uncultured bacterium
Lineage: Bacteria
Description: bacterial SSU rRNA
Rfam family: Bacterial small subunit ribosomal RNA
Source: RNAcentral